This 671-nucleotide non-coding RNA is filed under the name Pan troglodytes (chimpanzee). The record is from RNAcentral. Lineage: Eukaryota; Metazoa; Chordata; Mammalia; Primates; Hominidae.
AAACACAUCAGUACACAGUGGAUACAGCCUUUCACACCAUCAGGAAAAACAAGGAUGAAAAACACUUGAACAUCACUGUUUUCCAGGAAGUAGGGUGUGACCUCUUUUCGACAGAUGGGGUGAAAACACACAAGUGGACCAGCAGCUCCCGCCACAAAUAGAGUCUGGAAAUGCAGGGCCACUCAUGGGCAGCAGCUUCUUGUCCAGUCGUCACCAAUAAAGAGAAUCCCCACCACGGUCCUAGUGCCAAGGUGGCCACUGAGUGCAACAGGUGGAAGAAAACGGAAUCUUGAAUAAGAAAACGUGUUCUACUCCCAACUGCUACCUUUCAACCCCAAGCGGUGCUGACAUGAAAAAUGGCAUAUAAUGAGCUCUUCUACAGAGCAGAACUUGGAGUAAAAAUUGUCUCUGUUUCCAAGACGUGUGAGAUGUCUGAACUCUGAGAUGGUGUUUCAUCUCCACCCGAUUUCACCAAAGGGGUGUCAAUAUCUUUAAAGAACUGAUCUUCAGUAGGAAUUGGUGAGGUGGCAAGGAUGACUUUUCCUCUCCUUGAGGACACUCACCACUUUCUCUUUGGAUCUCAGGACUCCCAGCUUUCCAAACCGAACGUGAAAAGGUGAACACUGAUAGCUGCCAUCCUGCUGCUGUACCACGAUGACAUCAAUGCACCC